GUAACACUGACUGGAGGACGAACCGACUACCUUUGAAAAGUUAGCGGAUGACCUGUGGAUCGGAGUGAAAGGCUAAUCAAGCUCGGAGAUAGCUGGUUCUCCUCGAAAGCUAUUUAGGUAGCGCCUCAUGUAUCACUGUAGGGGGUAGAGCACUGUUUCGGCUAGGGGGUCAUCCCGACUUACCAAACCGAUGCAAACUCCGAAUACCAAUGAGUACUAUCCGGGAGACAGACUGCGGGUGCUAACGUCCGUAGUCAAGAGGAAAACAAUCCAGACCGCCAGCUAAGGCCCCAAAAUUAUAGUUAAGUGGGAAACGAUGUGGGAAGGCUUAGACAGCUAGGAGGUUGGCUUAGAAGCAGCCACCCUUUAAAGAAAGCGUAAUAGCUCACUAGUCGAGUCGGCCUGCGCGGAAGAUGUAACGGGGCUCAAACCAUACACCGAAGCUACGGGUAUCACCUUCGGGUGAUGCGGUAGAGGAGCGUUCUGUAAGCCUGUGAAGGUGAGUUGAGAAGCUUGCUGGAGGUAUCAGAAGUGCGAAUGCUGACAUGAGUAACGACAAUGCGAGUGAAAAACUCGCACGCUGAAAGACCAAGGGUUCCAGUCCAACGUUAAUCGGGGCUGGGUGAGUCGACCCCUAAGGCGAGGCCGAAAGGCGUAGUCGAUGGGAACCAGGUUAAUAUUCCUGGGCCAGGAG
RNAcentral lists this ribosomal RNA (694 nucleotides) under Schizochytrium aggregatum. RNAcentral describes it as "partial Bacterial large subunit ribosomal RNA". It matches the Rfam family "Bacterial large subunit ribosomal RNA", at positions 756 to 1450 of the family's 2925-position model. The record is from RNAcentral. Lineage: Eukaryota; Bigyra; Thraustochytrida; Thraustochytriidae.